UAGUGAUAAUCGGGAGAUGUAUGGAAGCAAACCCAUCAUUAUUCGCCAUGUGGACCAAAUACAAGAAGUUGAUGAUGUUGAGGAUGAUGAUGAUGAUUCUUAUGAAUAAACGAAUUGAAUGGAUGUUUGAAGUGUAUUAUUUCCACAGGGUUAUAUUAGCAAGGAUUUGCAGUGUGCCCAAUUCAUAGGAGUCUGCUUCUGGUGAUUCAUACAAUUUGAAGUUUGCUUUUUAGUUAUCAUUGAAAUACUGAAUUCAUAAAGCUUUACUUUUUGUUGUUUGGAAUGAUGAUUGUGUUGUGUAUAAUGCUGUAAACUAUUGAGUUUAUUUUAUAAGAAU
This is a long non-coding RNA of Ipomoea nil (Japanese morning glory), 337 nucleotides long. RefSeq lists it as uncharacterized. The transcript has 3 exons. Lineage: Eukaryota; Viridiplantae; Streptophyta; Magnoliopsida; Solanales; Convolvulaceae. The record is from RefSeq and is a predicted model, not a curated record.